Molecule: ribosomal RNA, 21 nt
Filed under: Bombus pratorum
Lineage: Eukaryota; Metazoa; Arthropoda; Insecta; Hymenoptera; Apidae
Description: 12S ribosomal RNA
Source: RNAcentral
AUGAGAUAUAUACUGUCUCAU